RNAcentral lists this ribosomal RNA (116 nucleotides) under Fusobacterium animalis 21_1A. The record is from RNAcentral. Lineage: Bacteria; Fusobacteriati; Fusobacteriota; Fusobacteriia; Fusobacteriales; Fusobacteriaceae.
UGGUGAGUAUAGCCAUGGGGGUACACCUAGUUACAUUCCGAACCUAGAAGUUAAGCCCAUAUACGCUGAUGGUACUUGGCUGGAAGCGGCCUGGGAGAGUAUGGAUUUGCCAAGCA